Molecule: transfer RNA, 72 nt
Filed under: Ovis aries (sheep)
Lineage: Eukaryota; Metazoa; Chordata; Mammalia; Artiodactyla; Bovidae
Rfam family: tRNA
About the family: Transfer RNA (tRNA) molecules are approximately 80 nucleotides in length. Their secondary structure includes four short double-helical elements and three loops (D, anti-codon, and T loops).
Source: Rfam by way of RNAcentral
UCCCUGAUGGUCCAGUGGUUAGGAUCUGCACUUUCACUGUUGAGGGCCCAGGUUUGAUCCCUGGUUAGGGAA